GGAGCCACAGCGGCCCGGAGCCUGGGACUGGGUGUCGGGUGGGUAGGGGACACCCCCCUCCCCAACCCCGGGCAGGAUGUUCGUUGCCCCUGGCGUCGCAGGCUAGGCAUUGUUUUCUUAUACCACCUUCAUAGCCAAACCUUCCUGCCUAGUCCGGAGGUUCCCAGAGUCAGCUGCUGGCCUUGAGAAGCAGAAGUGACUUCCCCUCAGUCAGUGGAGGAAAAGUUCCUCUCUGCGCUCUGCGCUUCUGCGGUUUGAUGGAUGCUUUUCCUCAUUUUCGCCGCAAGCCUCACUAACCGGUAGAUGGGAGGAGGGAGGGAGGACUUGGGAUAAACGCAGACUUGCGGGCUGGCUGUGCAUUUUCCAGAGGAGGGCUAGCUUUCCCGAAUAGCAAUGGCAAUGCACAGCCUACUUAAGUGUGUGUGGGAAAUCUCCCCAGACACAAAUAGUUCUGAAAUCCUGAACUUUGCAGAUAGGUAGGCAGAGUUUGCAGCGGAUGCUGCAGCAUACAGCAUAGAAGGGAUGAAGGAAGAGCUCAGAGGUUUUGAGCUGCAGAAAACACACAUCCGGGAAAACGUUCCCAGACUCCCCUAGCAUCCCCAGAGGAUUUGCCUUUAUCCAUCUGCCAAGGAAUUGUAAACCUUUCUUUGCCCUAUUUUUUAUUUAUUUCUGUCUUCCACUUUGAACUUGUUUCCCAUGUUCGAAAGUUCAUCUUUUGGGUGUAUGACUUUGGAGUAAUUUUUUUCAGGUAAGAGCCCUGGUGUUAGCUCUGGAAUAGGGCCUCUUAGCAUAGAUCCCUGCGAAUACUACGUACAUGUGAGAUUAAAGUUGAUCCUGGUAAAGCAGUCAGUGUGGAUGUACACCCUUAAGAGUUACACACAAUACACCAGAGGCGACAGUAAAAGGUCUGGGAGCCGCCUACUAUUCAACCUACUGACUUACCCGGUAGGCUCACACAUUCAGGAAGCUUGCUUAGGUUUAAACCAAGCGACCACCGUGUAAGUGUAAUGCUUAUCUUCUUUCCUAAGCUACCAGCACCAAUGUUUGUACCCACAUCCACCUAUCUCUAAGCACUAUCUAUGUUUUUUCCUCCAACACGGACACAUGGAAGUUUAAAAGCUACAGGGACACUUCCUGUUAAAAGUGGAUGAUCAUUUAAAAUAACUUGUAGUAGUUUGUUUGCUUAUCUAUACUUUUUCAUAACGUGCAAAGAGAAUUAUAUUCUGAAUGUGAAUUUGGAUAAGAGAAAUGGCCCUCUUUUAAUACCACAAGUCAGAAAUCAUAUUGUGUCGCAAAAUAAUCACAUUUAGGAACCAGAUACAUUUGGAUUACACAUCGUCAUUGUAAGGUAGUUUGAAGUACACGACGAUAACCGCGGCGGCUCUUUGUAAUAGUGUGGAAAGUCCAAGUCACGAGGGCUAAGGACUGUGCCGAAUCUUGUAGUGAGUUUACCUCUCUGAAGUGCUCUGUGCUCCAGGUGCUACUACAGCUCUGAAAUCCAAGGGCUGUGCUCAAAUGGAAGCUUGGGACUCAGCACUCAAGAAGCUGACACAGGAGGGUCCUCAUUUCAAACCCAGUCUCCCGAACAUACCUGGUCUCAAAAUGAAUAAGCCCACCCCACUUUAUUUGUUGUGUGGUUCAUACUCUCGUAAGGGUCAUUGCCAUGUAAUAGUGCCUCUUUUGCUUUGAAGUUUGUUUUUGUGACAGAAGGGAAGACAGCAGAGUAUUACAUUUUCUCUAUUUAAUGGAAAUUAAAUAAAUAGUAUAUAAAGUUAAAGAUACUGCAAAAUUAGAUGAGCUAUUUUAAAUUAGGUUUAUUUGAAGAAUGUACAAUGAUUUAAAACAAUUAAAUGAAAUCAAAUGAGAGUAAGACUUUUUGGUUCUCCACACUCCAUCCUCCUCACAUAGUCUAUCCCAUGGCUAUUAGCAUUUUCUUAUGCAUCUUUCCAAACUACUCCAUGCAUUUGUAGGCCUAUGUGUCUGUGCCUAUGUAUCUGUGGCUAACUGUUGAGGCCCUUAACAUGUGCAAUGAAGGCUGGCUAGAGUUUUAUUGGCUUCAUACCUUCAAAUUUGCAUCAAACAUUUUUGACGCCCAGCGGAUUGACUGAGGUCCUCGUGCUGAGCACAUUAAGCUGCAGGGAUGGUGUGGUCACUGGUGGGCAGCAGUGGCUUACAGAGGCCUUUACUUCUUCUGUGGGGGUGAGAGGCAGGUGGGCUUUCUUCUAUUCUUCCUGGGAGCAGUCAGGAACAUUUUCAUUUACAUCUUGAGUCUCCUGCCACAUGACGUGGUUACUGUAAUGCAGCAAAGAUGAGAAUUUCUAAAAAGGCAUAGUCACUUUAUGUCAUUGUAAUUGAAUACAUCAGAGGAGGGGAGAUUUAUUGUGGCUCAUGGUUUCAGAGAUUUCAGCCCAUCAUCACCGUUGCUUUUCUGGGCCUCUAGUGAGUUCAUAUACACCAUAGCAAAGGGACAGAGAGGAGGAUAGCAGGUCACUUUAUGGUGGCCGGGAAGCAGAGGGAGGAGGAACUAAGGACAAGGCUUACAUUUCAAGGGCAUGUCCCUAGUGACUUUCUUCCUGCAAGCGGGCCUCAGAUCCUACUUAACACUUUGUCCCAACAAUCCCAUCAUGAUCCCUCACGACAGACAAAUCUACUGGUUAGAUCUCAGCCCUUGUGAUCCAAUUAUCUUUCCGGUGGCACCUCUGAACAUCAGACUCAGGACCGAACUUUCAGUACAUGAGGUUUUUUUCUUUUUGGAAGGUUUUAUAUUUCAACCAAAACACAUGUAGUAGAUGCAUCUGUGCUGUACUGAGGGGUGACAGUACUUACAUUGUCAGGGAUUCUUUUUAUUUGGUUUUGAAACACAUAUGUAGCAAAGAAAUUUCUUUUAUAUUAAAAUAUAUUAAGCUGGGUGGUGUUGUACUUGGGAGGCAGGUGGAUCUCUGGGUUUGCAUAUAUAUACAUAUGUGCAUAUACAUAUAUUUCUACCAUCCCUGCGAUUUGUCAAAUAUUAAAUUCUUUUCAAGUUGACUUAGAUUACUGGUUUUUAAUUGUUUUAAUGUGAAUUCUCUAUUAGCAUGAAUAUUACACUAAAAAUUCAUUCCUUUACCCUACCAGAAACCAGUCUUCCUUGUAUGUUAAUUAAAGGGAUAUUUUCAGUUAAUUUGCCCUUCCUAAUUUGAAAACAUGUGUACAGCCGAGAAAACAAUUUCCUUCUGCACUGAGUGAAACAAUUAUACUGUUUAUCUGUGCCCAGUUUCACAAGCCUUCUUAAUGUCAAUGUGGUUUUCUUCCUUCUAUUUAGGUGUUUCUUUUUAAUAUUAUGAGAAUUUAGCUAGAUUCUCUGUAAUCCAUUUACUUUUUUCUUGUAUGAUUAUUUUCUACAGAAUUGCCAUUGAUAAGUACUUCAUGUUUUGGUGUGUGUGUGUGUGUGUGUGUGUGUGUGUGUGUGUACAUACACUGUUAUAUUCAUUAAUCCGUCUUAAUUUCUUCUUUGUGGUGGUCUGACUAGAUAUGGCCCUCAUAGAGUUCUUGGCCUAAAGGGAAUAGUGCUAUUAGGAAGUGUAGCCUUGUUGAAGUAGGAGUGGCUUUGUUGGAGGAAGUGUGGCACUGUGGGGGGCUGGCUUUGAGCUCUCCUGUGCUCAAACUAUGCCCAGUGUAAAAAUCCAGUGUCCUGGCUACCUUUAGUUCCAAUUAAAUGUUUGCCUUUAUAAGAAUUGCUUUGGUACUGGUGUCUCUUCACAGCAAUAAAACCCUAAGACAUCCUUGAUACAUGAUUUAAGAUGAAAAGUUAGGAGAAUGCUAAUAUUAAUGUACAAAUAUUAAUGUACUAUUUUGUAUUUGAAUACAUUUCUAAUAAAUUAGAUUGCUUAUCUAGUAUUUGAUGCCAAUAUUCUAAUAUUUAAAAUAUCUUUUAUUUAAAAUUAAGGCCAAUAACUAUAUCUAUAAUAUUGUAGAAAUAGGAAACAGUGUAGCUUAUUCUUUAUAUUAGAUAGUGGGAAAUGAGAUGCAUAACUAUUUUGAAAACAGUUCAUUUUUGUUUCUAUUUUUGUCCAUUUUCUUUUAUUCCAAUUAAGUCUAUAUAACUAGGCAAGGAAGUGUAAUCAAUACCACAUUGACUGCACUGCCUGGUAUGUGGGGUGAAGCUAGGUACUAGAGUGAGGAUCUGAGACAUACUGCAGAGCAUCUAAAGGAAUGGCUAUUCUCUGCCUCAUUAAGCUGUUAUCAAGACCAAUCUUAACCUGGUCUGGUGUUGUGAGCCGCAACCUCAAAGAUGCACCUUGGGUACCACUUGACUCAUGACCAAGUUAUGACUCAGCAGAGAGGCAAAGGGGAUGGAAUUUACAUUACAUGCUGCCUAUCAUAGUUAAACACUAAACGAGCUUUCAUACAUUUCAUAUCCUCACGGUGAGUGUUCUGGUGUAAGGGAGGUACAGAGAGACAUAAUUCAAGGCAGAGUCGGGAUUCACAGCCAUGUUUACUUAAUACCUGGAACUGUGUUAUCGUGCAUUUCCUCAGAUGCAGAAAGUUCAUAACUCAACACUUUCUAGGCUAGAAACAAGCUGAGUGCCUGAAGCAUCCGAGUCUUGGGCUUGUGAGGUGAAUUGUUCCUUCUCUACCUUCCACCCCAGCUUAGAACAUCUAGAGCUCCAUGGCCCAAGAGGGGAUUAACAGUCCUUCUGGAGCCUGUGGCCCUUUUCUUAGGCCCAUGUUGUGUGUGGAAAGGCAGUUUGGCUGGUGUGUACUGGAUAAGGAGCAUGCAUGGAACACAUACCUCUUCAUGGUGUCAGUUUUGAAGCUCAGACCUGUUUUACAUUAGGGCAUUUUCUUUCCUGUGCCCCCAAAGACAGCAGAGUUUUGAGAAGAAUUGUAUUUUCUUUAAAUUGAUAUACAGAAGGACCAGAUACCUGGUACACUGAAUGCAUAUUUUUAUUAUAGGGGAAUGAGGUAAAGAGGAUUUCAAUUGGAAUUCUGAACACAGUUUUAUAAACAGUUGUAAUGUGAAAUUAAAUAUGAUAAAAAACUACUUACAAUUUUUAGACAUGCCAGAGUUAUAAAUGCUUUUGUAGAGUACCCUGGGAAUUAAUCAGCAUAUAGACUUUUGUUUCUAUACCUAUGUGCUGUCUAGUCUUGACACAAGUUAGAGUUAUCUGGAAGGAGGGAGCCUCAAUUGAGAAAAUGCUACUCUGCCUUCUGGUAUCCAUCUGCUCCCAGAGCUGGGACUGUCUCAUAGCCCUUCAGACCUAAAUCCCGCCUGGAGGAAGCUGGUCUCCCAGAAGUGCUCUCACUCCUAAGAUCACAGGCUCACAGGUCCACAGGAGGGACAGGCUCCAGUCAGAGACAGCAAGACCAACUAACACCAGAGAUAUCCAGAUGGUGAGAGGCAAGCUUAAGAACCAAGCAACAGAAACCAAGACUACUUGGCAUCAGUUCUCCCUGUACAGCAAGUCCUUGAUACCCCAACACACCAGAAAAGCAAGAUUUGGAUUUAAAAUCACAUCUCAUGAUGAUGAUAGAGGACUUUAAGAAGGACAUAAAUAACUACCUUAAAGAAACACAGGACAACACAGGUAAACAAGUAGAAACCCUUAAAGUAGAAACACAAAAAUGCCUUAAAGAAUUACAGGAAAACACAACCAAACAGGUGAAGAAAUUGAACAAAACCAUCCAGGAUCUAAAAAUGGAAAACAGAAACAAUAAGGAAAUACCAAAGGGAGACAACCCUGGAGAUAGAAAACCUAGGGAAGAGGUCAGGAGUCAUAGACGCAAGCAUCACCAAUAGAAUACAAAAGAUGGAAGAGAGAAUCUCAGGAGCAGAAGAUACCAUAGAAAACAUUGACACAAUAGUCAAAGAAAAUGCAAAAGGGUCCUAACCCAAAACAUCCAGGAAAUUCAGGACACAGCGAGAAGACCAAAGUCUAUUAAGGAUAAUAAGUAUAUUGGGGUUGGGGAUUUAGCUCAGUGGUAGAGCGCUUGCCUAGCAAGCUUGCCCAGCGCAAGGCCCUGGGUUCGGUCCUCAGCUCCAAGAAAAAAAAGACAAUAAAUAUAGAAGAGAGAGAAGACUCCCAACUUAAAGGGCCAUUAAAUAUCUUCAACAAAAUUAUAGAAGAAAACUUUCCUAACCUAAAGAAAGAGAUGCCCAUGAACAUACAGGAAGCCUACAGAACUACAAAUAGAUUGGACCAGAAAAGAAAUUCCUCCUGUCACAUAAUAGUCAAAACACCAAAUGCACAAAACAAAGAAAGAAUAUUAAAAGCAGUAAGGGAAAAAUGUCAAGUGACAUAUAAAGGCAGAGCUAUAAAAAUUACACCAGACUUCUCACUAGAGACUAUGAAAGUUAGAAGAUACUGGGAAGCUGUCUGACCAUAAGAGAACAUAAAUGCCAGCCCAGGCUACUACAUCCAGCAAAACUCUCAAUUACCAUAGAUGGAGAAACCAAGAUAUUCCAUGACAAAACCAAAUUUACACAAUACCUUUCCACAAAUCCAGCGCUUCAAAGGAUAAUAGAUGGAGAAAAUGACACCCUAAGAAGGGGCUAUAAAGCAUCUUUUAAAUUAGUGAUUGCUAUAUGGCAGAAGGCCCAGACCAUUGUGGGUAGUGCCAUCCCUGGUCUGGUGGUCUUGAGUUCUAUAAGAAAGCAGGCUAAGCAAGCCAUGGGGAGCAAACCAAUAAGCAGCACCCCUCCAUGUCCUCUGCAUCAGUGCCUGCUCCCAGGUUCCUGCCCUGUUUGACUUCCUUCAGUGAUAAACAGUGAUGUGGUAGGGUAACAUUUUGAAGAAACUCUUUCUUCCCCACGUUGCUUUAGUCAUGGUGUUUUAUCACAGCAAUAGUAAUCCUAACUAAGACAACUGAUAUGUGUUAAAAACUUUAAAUAACAAACUGAUGUCGUGAUUUUAAAGAGAGAACCUGACAUUCAUUGGAGCUGACCAGCUUUCGCUAUGGGGAUAGCUGUUAGCAUGCUGUGGCAUCUGCAGCCUCAGAUGGGGUUCUCCCUCUGCCCUCUGAAGCAUGAGCCAGCUAUAUGUGUAGCACUGAACCUCUUGGUGGGUUUGUCCUACUAUCCCAACAACCUUAGUCAGAAAGCCUAGUUUCUCUGAAAUUGUCAUAGAGGAGUAACCACAGUCACCUUAAGGGAGUUUCUUAUUUCAGUGCUUUUCUAGUGUGUCUUUUAAUAGCACCUCUUGGGAGAAAUGAGGAAUAAAACCUUGGGUAAAUACCUUCUUACAUUUUGAUGAAAGGCUUUAGAAGUGCCUGUUAAUCAGUGUUUGCUAUAAUUCUUAGAAUUUAUAGAUUUGCGUUUCCUUUUGGUAAAGGUUUAAAGAGUAUAAUUCACUUACAUAGCCACUGAGGGGUUAACACACAUUGUGAUUACCUCUGAAUAGUUGUCCCAAGUAUUCCCUUUUACAAUGAAGCAAACAGCCAAUUAAAUGUUGCACAGUAAAAUGUCAAUUGAACAUUUAUUGCCAAAUAACACCUCAGGCACAGCAGGGCAUUAUGAAGAAACAUCAGGAGACAGCCCACAUAGCUUGGUACUACUGAACAAACAACCCAUUAAAAGUGCUUUUGGGUAAUGCUAGAGCAACUGAUCAGGCAACGAGUGACCAGGGGAGAGCUCAAAGAACUGAACGACCUUCUCAGCAUCUCUGUUCAGCAUUACUAAUAGUGAAUAGUAAAAUAAUUCUAUAUUCAAGCCUAAUGUCCAAAUUGCCAGCCAUAACAUUGUAUAUUUAAAAACUAUCUAUAUUUAAAUGGAUAGAGGUCCAGGGGUACCAUGUUUCUUGAGCCUUCCUUUGUGAUAUCACUACUGAAUGAACCACUGGUUCUAGGAAGAGGAGAGAGUUAUUGAAUUGGACUUUCAGUAUAAAUCUAUGGUAAUAAAUAAAUAAAUCUUUUUAUAGUAAAAUCUGUCAGCAAAAUAUGUUUUGACAAGUGUUUUAAUCAUAAGGUUGGUUUGGAGUUUCAUUUAAUUUAUUCACCUCUGUUUCCCAGUUCAUCUUUAUAUUCCUGUUCUCACAAUGGAAUACAACAGAGUUUAUUAUAAUUAGUGAUUAUAUUAUGCUAAUAAUAACAAUAAUAAUGACAGAAGACCAACUUCUAUUUAAUAUUUUUGCACUGUUUAAGUAUUGGUCUGGGUAUUGUAUUUUAUCAAACACCGAUGGCAAUAAGCAAGAUUCUAGUAUGACAAAGUGUUGAAAUUGUUUCUUAGAUUUAACAUUGGGAUUAUUUGCAGUUUUAUUUGUAAUGUCUUGUGUCGAUAUGUUUAGGAGAGGUAUUAUCUGUUUUAUUUUGAAUAGUAUCAUUUUAACUCACCAAAUUUGUUAUCAGUUUAGUAUUAUUUUGAGAAAAGCAGGAUUACAUAUGUGAGUAGAAAAGAGCUAUCAUUUAUAUUAUCAUUCUCACUCUAGGAAGUUACAUCAUCAGUCUCACUAGGAAGUUACAUCAUCAGUCUCACUCUAGGAAGUUACAUCAUCAGUCUCACUAGGAAGUUACAUCAUCAGUCUCACUAGGAAGUUACAUGAUCAGUCUCACUCUAGGAAGUUACAUCAUCAGUCUCACUCUAGGAAGUUACACCAUCAGUCUCACUCUAGGAAGUUACAUCAUCAUUCUCACUCUAGGAAGUUACAUCAUCAUUUUCACUCUAGGAAGUUACAUCAUCAGUCUCACUCUAGGAAGUUACAUCAUCAGUCUCACUAGGAAGUUACAUCAUCAGUCUCACUCUAGGAAGUUACAUCAUCAGUCUCACUCUAGGAAGUUACAUCAUCAGUCUCACUCUAGGAAGUUACAUCAUCAUUCUCACUCUAGGAAGUUACAUCAACAUUCUCACUCUAGGAAGUUACAUCAUCAGUCUCACUCUAGGAAGUUACAUCAUCAGUCUCACUCUAGGAAGUUAUGUAUUUUCUCAAUCUAGGAGGUUACACAUUAUUCUCACUCGGGAAGAACAAUUUUGGAAACAAUCCAAUCCACCCCAAACAUAAAAACUAAACUGUUUGUAUCAAGGAUGGGGCUCAGGAUCUCAGCCACUGAACUAUGUUACAGCCUUAGGGUGUAGCUAUUAUAAGCAAAGAGAUUAUGUUUGUCCUUAACUGUAAAACUUUGUAUUAAAGUUCAAAAUACUUUGGGAGAUAA
Rattus norvegicus (Norway rat) is the source of this 9123-nucleotide non-coding RNA. The record is from RefSeq and is a predicted model, not a curated record. NCBI's taxonomy places the organism in Eukaryota, Metazoa, Chordata, Mammalia, Rodentia, Muridae.